This is a non-coding RNA of Triticum aestivum (bread wheat), 135 nucleotides long. NCBI's taxonomy places the organism in Eukaryota, Viridiplantae, Streptophyta, Magnoliopsida, Poales, Poaceae. The record is from Rfam.
CAACUACUCCCUCUACUCCAAAUUUCUUGUCUUAUAUUUGUCUAGAUACGGAUGUAUCUAAUACUAAAAUGUGACUUGAUACAUCCGUAUCUAGACAAAUCUAAGACAAGAAUUUUGGGACGGAGGGAGUACUUU